RNAcentral lists this unclassified non-coding RNA (216 nucleotides) under Hevea brasiliensis (rubber tree). Lineage: Eukaryota; Viridiplantae; Streptophyta; Magnoliopsida; Malpighiales; Euphorbiaceae. The record is from RNAcentral.
CUUUUGUUUUAUUUGAAAUGCAAGUGCAUAAUUAUUAGUUCUCCCUCUUUUGAUCUCUUUACAAUAUCAUGUAUAAUUAACGAUCAAUGCUAUUUUUUUAACUUCAUUUUUUGAUAUCUUAUCUUUUCUAUACUUGAAGGCUGAAGAGCUGUUUAUAUUCUCUUAUCUUGCAUAAUGUUUCAUGCUUUUCUGCAUGUACUUGUAAUGUGCUAGAAG